Molecule: ribosomal RNA, 492 nt
Filed under: uncultured bacterium
Lineage: Bacteria
Description: partial 16S ribosomal RNA
Rfam family: Bacterial small subunit ribosomal RNA
Source: RNAcentral
AGUGAACGCUGGCGGUAGGCCUAACACAUGCCAGUCGAACGGCAGCACAGUAAGAGCUUGCUCUUACGGGUGGCGAGUGGCGGACGGGUGAGGAAUACAUCGGAAUCUACUUUUUCGGGGGGGAUAACGUAGGGAAACUUACGCUAAUACCGCAUACGACCUACGGGUGAAAGCAGGGGAUCUUUGGACCUUGCGCGAUUGAAUGAGCCGAUGUCGGAUUAGCUAGUUGGCGGGGUAAAGGCCCACCAAGGCGACGAUCCGUAGCUGGUCUGAGAGGAUGAGCAGCCACACUGGAACUGAGACACGGUCCAGGCUCCUACGGGAGGCAGCAGUGGGGAAUAUUGGACAAUGGGGGCAAGCCUGAUCCAGCCAUACCGCGUGGGUGAAGAAGGCCUUCGGGUUGUAAAGCCCUUUUGUUGGGAAAGAAAAGCAGCAGGUUAAUACCCCGCUGUUCUGACGGUACCCAAAGAAUAAGCACCGGCUAACUUCGUG